GAUGAACGCUGGCGGCGUGCCUAAUACAUGCAAGUCGAGCGAACAGACGAGGAUCUUGCUCCUCUGACGUUAGCGGCGGACGGGUGAGUAACACGUGGAUAACCUACCUAUAAGACUGGGAUAACUUCGGGAAACCGGAGCUAAGACCGGAUAAUAUAUUGGACCGCAUGGUUCAAUAGUGAAAGACGGUUUUGCUGUCACUUCUAGAUGGAUCCGCGCCGCAUUAGCUAGUUGGUAAGGUAACGGCUUACCAAGGCAACGAUGCGUAGCCGACCUGAGAGGGGGAUCGGCCACACUGGAACUGAGACACGGUCCAGACUCCUACGGGAGGCAGCAGUAGGGAAUCUUCCGCAAUGGGCGAAAGCCUGACGGAGCAACGCCGCGUGAGUGAUGAAGGUCUUCGGAGCGUAAAACUCUGUUAUUAGGGAAGAACAAAUGUGUAAGUAACUAUGCACGUCUUGACGGUACCUAAUCAGAAAGCCACGGCUAACUACGUG
RNAcentral lists this ribosomal RNA (497 nucleotides) under uncultured bacterium. RNAcentral's name for it is "partial 16S ribosomal RNA". It matches the Rfam family "Bacterial small subunit ribosomal RNA", at positions 28 to 507 of the family's 1533-position model. The record is from RNAcentral.